RNAcentral lists this transfer RNA (72 nucleotides) under Ovis aries (sheep). It matches the Rfam family "tRNA". Rfam says of the family: Transfer RNA (tRNA) molecules are approximately 80 nucleotides in length. Their secondary structure includes four short double-helical elements and three loops (D, anti-codon, and T loops). The record is from Rfam by way of RNAcentral. Lineage: Eukaryota; Metazoa; Chordata; Mammalia; Artiodactyla; Bovidae.
UCCCUGGUAGCUCAGUUGGGAAAGAAUCUGCCUGCAAAGCAGGAGACCUGGGUUGGAUCCCUGGAUAGGGAA